GGAGAAGUACUCAAGUUGGUCAAGAGGACGCACUGCUAACGCGUUAGGGGCUUGAAAGGCUCGCGUGGGUUCAAGUCCCACCUUCUCCGCCA
This 92-nucleotide transfer RNA is filed under the name Clostridia bacterium. RNAcentral describes it as "tRNA-Ser". It matches the Rfam family "tRNA". Rfam says of the family: Transfer RNA (tRNA) molecules are approximately 80 nucleotides in length. The record is from RNAcentral. Lineage: Bacteria; Bacillati; Bacillota; Clostridia.